Molecule: long non-coding RNA, 221 nt
Filed under: Lathyrus oleraceus (garden pea)
Lineage: Eukaryota; Viridiplantae; Streptophyta; Magnoliopsida; Fabales; Fabaceae
Description: Pisum sativum (pea) long non-coding RNA (PSAT_LNC016098)
Source: RNAcentral
ACACCGCACCGUCUUCCUCUUUUGCAGGUUCUGCUCUUGGAUUUUAUAUUACAGAGGAGAUGUGGCGCGACCACAUGGCUAGAGAGCAAAGGCGUGAUGACCUACUCUCUACCAUUCAGCAACAACUGGCAGAUAACAUGAGCUUCAUGCAAGAAUCACAGUGGAGGACAGAUCAAUCCUAUGAGACUGUUGUACAGACCCUGCUUGCGAUUUCAAACGAG